AACGCGAAGAACCUUACCAGGCCUUGACAUGCAUCUCUAAGUUGGUGAAAGCCAGCGAGUGUCGAAAGACACAAUUUGCACAGGUGCUGCAUGGCUGUCGUCAGCUCGUGUCGUGAGAUGUUGGGUUAAGUCCCGCAACGAGCGCAACCCUUGUCCUGUGUUGCCAUACCGAAAGGUGGAACUCGCAGGAGACCGCCAGGGAUAACCUGGAGGAAGGUGGGGAUGACGUCAAGUCCUCAUGGCCUUUAUGUCCAGGGCUACACACGUGCUACAAUGGACGGUACAAAGGGCUGCCAACCCGCGAGGGGGAGCCAAUCCCAAAAAACCGUUCUCAGUUCGGAUUGCAGGCUGCAACUCGCCUGCAUGAAGCUGGAAUCGCUAGUAAUGGCGGAUCAGAACGCCGCCGUGAAUACGUUCCCGGGCCUUGUACACACCGGCUAC
RNAcentral lists this ribosomal RNA (441 nucleotides) under uncultured bacterium. Its description in RNAcentral is "bacterial SSU rRNA". It matches the Rfam family "Bacterial small subunit ribosomal RNA", at positions 958 to 1397 of the family's 1533-position model. The record is from RNAcentral.